CGGCAGCUGUGGGGAUUCGUUAUUCUCCGAGGUUGGCGGGCUCGACGCGAGGCUCGAUGGGGCUGCGGGAUUGUCAAGCAGGUAAAGUUCGCCAACUCAUCCAGUUUGAUGCUUUUCAACUGCUGGAUAAUGGUUUCGUGCCAUGCGUCGUCUCCAUGUAUUUACUAAAACAUUUACUAUGCUCUUCUAUUUGGAGAAAGAAGCAUGGUGCAGCCUACCAAGCUGGGGAGAGCCAUAUAAUGCCCAUCUUGGAAUUAGCUGUUCGACUGAGAUGUGCUGGACAAAAAUAUUACCAGUUCCUUUGAGUAUGCUUGACUUGUAUAAUGUGAUUUUCAUUUUUUAGAGUGAAUUACAUAAUAUAUAGAUAUGCAUUAUUUUGGCUUUAGUAACUAUUUUUCUCAUGUUUAGAAACAUGCGAGGUUGGGGGGGUCUUCUAGCAUUCCAAUCUGCACUACUUUUGCUUUGUUUCAUCGACAGACAUCAUGCAAUUGAAAUAGUUUGAUUCAGGACACCAAGCAUUUGGGAAAGUGGCAUGAUGCUGGUCCUUGAAAUUGAUGUUCUUAGUGAUUUAUGAUGGAGUUUUAUCUGAAUUUAACAUCGCUGUCCUCAACAUCAAUUUUGUUGACUCAUAGGCGGGUGAUUGCUCAACGAUGACUGGAGACGAUCUUCGGUAUUACAACUGGUUUAUACCAAUGGGUUAUUUGCAUCUCAAGUUAAAUUAGUCACUGUUGAUCAACAAUGAGAUGUGGCCAUUGUUUGAUGGAUCAU
This 768-nucleotide long non-coding RNA is filed under the name Triticum aestivum (bread wheat). RNAcentral's name for it is "long non-coding RNA (TAES_LNC020024)". Lineage: Eukaryota; Viridiplantae; Streptophyta; Magnoliopsida; Poales; Poaceae. The record is from RNAcentral.